GGAGCUUGCUCCUUUGACGUUAGCGGCGGACGGGUGAGUAACACGUGGGUAACCUACCUAUAAGGCUGGGAUAACUUCGGGAAACCGGAGCUAAUACCGGAUAACAUUUGGAACCGCAUGGUUCUAAAGUGAAAGAUGGUUUUGCUAUCACUUAUAGAUGGACCCGCGCCGUAUUAGCUAGUUGGUAAGGUAACGGCUUACCAAGGCGACGAUACGUAGCCGACCUGAGAGGGUGAUCGGCCACACUGGAACUGAGACACGGUCCAGACUCCUACGGGAGGCAGCAGUAGGGAAUCUUCCGCAAUGGGCGAAAGCCUGACGGAGCAACGCCGCGUGAGUGAUGAAGGGUUUCGGCUCGUAAAACUCUGUUAUUAGGGAAGAACAAAUGUGUAAGUAACUGUGCACGUCUUGACGGUACCUAAUCAGAAAGCCACGGCUAACUACGUGCCAGCAGCCGCGGUAAUACGUAGGUGGCAAGCGUUAUCCGGAAUUAUUGGGCGUAAAGCGCGCGUAGGCGGUUUCUUAAGUCUGAUGUGAAAGCCCACGGCUCAACCGUGGAGGGUCAUUGGAAACUGGGAAACUUGAGUGCAGAAGAGGAAAGUGGAAUUCCAUGUGUAGCGGUGAAAUGCGCAGAGGUAUGGAGGAACACCAGUGGCGAAGGCGACUUUCUGGUCUGUAACUGACGCUGAUGUGCGAAAGCGUGGGGAUCAAACAGGAUUAGAUACCCUGGUAGUCCACGCCGUAAACGAUGAGUGCUAAGUGUUAGGGGGUUUCCGCCCCUUAGUGCUGCAGCUAACGCAUUAAGCACUCCGCCUGGGGAGUACGACCGCAAGGUUGAAACUCAAAGGAA
Molecule: ribosomal RNA, 850 nt
Filed under: uncultured bacterium
Lineage: Bacteria
Description: bacterial SSU rRNA
Rfam family: Bacterial small subunit ribosomal RNA
Source: RNAcentral